RNAcentral lists this long non-coding RNA (1112 nucleotides) under Homo sapiens (human). RNAcentral's name for it is "non-protein coding lnc-ARFIP1-1:5". Lineage: Eukaryota; Metazoa; Chordata; Mammalia; Primates; Hominidae. The record is from RNAcentral.
GCAAAAGAGAAGUUGCUGUUGAAGCACUGGUUCUAUUAUCACGCCUCUCCAGCCCUUUGGAGUCCCGGCCUCCAGCUUUUGAAACCGUCCCCGGGGCAACAGAGUCCCUUGCUCAGAUGUCGUUCGGUAUCUGGGACUGGGAGGGGUCCUGGACCACACGCAUUCUCACUCUGUGAUUUUGCUUAUCCCCCAGGUGAGGCUCCGGGGCUGCCUAGACCCUAGGAAGAAGCUGUCCUGUAGAACUUUCUGCCCUGAUGGAAAUGUUCCAAGUCUGCGCCGUCUGAUACAGUAUCAGCCACAUUGGCCACUGAGCAUUUGAACUGAGGCUAGUGCUGAUGGAAUUUAAAUUUUAUUGAAUUUUUAUAAAAUUUUAAUAACUCCAAGUGGCUAGUGGCUGCUGUGUUGGAUAGCGCAGGCCCAGACAGCAGGGACAACUGCAUCAUCAGAAAACUGCCAGACCACUUCUCUCCGCCAGGUCCAUUCUCCUUUCUCCACUCUGGAAUGCCCUCCUCCCACCAAGGCCCACGCCAGAUGGAGGUGGAUGCCACACCCACACCUUAAGGUUAUGUUCUGCUUCCCCAGAGAGAAAUGAUCUUUUCAAGGUCCAUUUCCAAAGGAGAAUAUGCUCUGAGGGUGGAGGUAGGGGUGAAUCUGCAUCUCACCUUCCUUCCUUCUUACUUGACAAUCAAGUUCUCAGACAACAAACAAAACAGGACAGAAACGAAAUAGAAUAAUGGUAGAAAUCCUAUCCAAUCGAAACAAUACAGAAAGGUUGUGUCUAGUAUACAGUGGAGAUUAGUGUGUGUUGGGUGUUCUAUUGGAGGUCCUUCCCUUGGUUUAGGUUUAGGGCCUAAGCAUUCAGAAUGCAGUUUCAUAAUCGUGGUGCCAAGAGAGACAGACAGAUGGAGAGAGGGGUAGUGUUGAGGCAUCAGACACAUCUCAUCUCUAAACCUUUCCCUGCAGAUCACCAUCUGAGUCAUGACUUCCCGUCGUUUGUCUUCAGUGAUCUGGUUGGUGCAAACGUAUGAGGUGACAAUACAGAACAAACAGCAGGAGAAAAUAGACGUGCUCAAAACUGGGUGAUUGAUUUGAAAACAACAGAGAAAGAACUA